Molecule: ribosomal RNA, 253 nt
Filed under: uncultured bacterium
Lineage: Bacteria
Description: partial 16S ribosomal RNA
Rfam family: Bacterial small subunit ribosomal RNA
Source: RNAcentral
GACGAGGGAUCCUAGCGUUGUUCGGAAUCAUUGGGCGUAAAGGGUGCGUAGGUGGCUUUGAAAGUCAGUUGUGAAAUCCCCGGGCUUAACCCGGGAAGUGCUUCUGAUACUACUUAGCUUGAAUAUUGGAGAGGUGAGUGGAAUUCCAGGUGUAGUGGUGAAAUACGUAGAUAUCUGGAGGAACACCGGCGGCGAAGGCGGCUCACUGGCCAUAUAUUGACACUGAAGCACGAAAGCGUGGGGAGCAAACAGG